UUCAUAAGGGCGACUGAAACGGGAAGAGCCCAGCGCAAAGCCUCGCGCUCCGAUAUCUAAGGGCGCGAGGGGUGCUGCGUUCGGGAGAGGUCCUGCACGCGCUUCCGCACCGCCUAAGUUGUACAUGAAUGACUCUCAUACCCAGGGAGGGUGUUAGGCCCGUGUGGCGGUAUGCAGCCCCUGCGCGCAAGCGCGGGGGAAGGUACGGGAGUGCGGAACGGGCCUCUCCUUAGAGUCGGGUUGCCUGAAACCGCAACCUAAAGUAGGUGGUAAACUCCAUCUAAGGCUAAAUAUGACCACGAGACCGAUAGCGAACAAGUACCGUGAGGGAAAGUUGAAACAGAACCCUGUAGAGAGAGUUCAAGAGAACGUGAAACCGUUAAGAGGCUAAACGGGUGGAGAUUCGAAGAUCGAACUUGGGGGAUUCAGUCUGUCGGUGGCCGGGAGGGGGUUCGUGGCGCUAGGCCGCCGGGCUCGGCCGCAAGGCGGGUCCGCGGUCUUACGCGACCUCCCGACUGCUGUCCGCUCACAAGGCGGGCACGACCGGGGGGCGCGGCCCGUCCCUUAACCCUGGUGCCGGCGGGCGAUCUUCCCCCUGUAGUAGGUCGCCGCGAUGCGUUGGGAGGGCGUCUUGAGGCCCGGGCGGCAGGAACCGACGUCAAAGCUCUCUCUCAGCCCUCCGGGGCCUUGGAGUCUGCGGCGGCGUCCGGGGAUCCCCUGGUGUCCUUGUCUUGCGCUCCCGACGAUCUCUCCUUGGGGCUUUCGGCGUCUCUUCGGAGCGCCGUCUGCCUUCGCGGCGUGUAAAGUAUCGAUGCUCUACCCGACCCGUCUUGAAACACGGACCAAGGAGUCCAACAUGUAUGCGAGUCAAUGGGCGCACUAAACCCACGGGCGCAAUGAAAGUGAUAACUGGCCCCCCGCAAGGGGGGCGGGGCCGAUCCCUCGAGACUGGGCGGCCGAGCCCCCGGCCGGAGUGACUGCUUUUCCUCCCCGGGAGCGCGGCCCGUCCGUCCCGCACGCCUCCUCUUCCCAGAGGAGGGGGGCGCAGGUCCGGGACUCGCCAGGACGAACGGAGAAGGCGGUUCGCCGCCGGUACCCGGAUGUGUCGGCGAGUACCUCGAGCAUAAAUGUUGGUACCCGAAAGAUAGUGAACUAUGCCUGGCCAGGAUGAAGCCAGGGGAAACCCUGGUGGAAGUCCGCAGCGAUUCUGACGUGCAAAUCGAUCGUCGGAGCUGGGUAUAGGGGCGAAAGACCAAUCGAACUAUCUAGUAGCUGGUUCCCUCCGAAGUUUCCCUCAGGAUAGCUGGCACUCGCCAAAGACGAGUUUCAUCCGGUAAAGCGAAUGAUUAGGGGUGUUGGGGACGAAAUGUCCUCAGCCUAUUCUCAAACUUUAAAUGGGUGAGGUACCGGGCUUGCUUCUCUGAAGCCCCGGGCACGAAUCGGAGUGCUUAGUGGGCCAAUUUUGGUAAGCAGAACUGGCGCUGUGGGAUGAACCAAACGUCGAGUUAAGGGGCCUAAAUGGAUGCUAAUUCCGAUACCAUUGGAAGGGAGUUGCUUGCUAUAGACAGCAGGACGGUGGCCAUGGAAGUUGGAAUCCGCUAAGGAGUGUGUAACAACUCACCUGCCGAAGCAAGUAACCCUGAAAAUGGCAUGGCGCUCAAGCAUCCUCCCGAUACUCGACCGCCGGGUGCACUAUAGGCUGCAACGAGGAGGUCUCGAGGCCCCGGUGAGUAGGAGGGCGCGGCGGUGUGCGUUGAAGGAUACGGCGCGAGCCGGUCUGGAGCCGCCGCUGGUGCGGAUCUUGGUGGUAGUAGCAAAUAUUCGAGCUAGAAAACCACACCCUCGCUGGCCGAUGCGGAGAAGGGUUCCACGCCAACAUCGCUUGGUCGUGGGUCAGUCGCUCCUGAGCCCUGGGAUAGCAUCCCGAUGUACCAGGUUGCUGGGCUUUCCUGUCCUGAUCACUUUGUACGGCGACUAGCUACCGUGGUGGUGCUAGCGCAAUACAAGUAAGAACGUACGAACGUACGAACCUGUCUCCGGCGCUGCUCCGCGCGCCGCGCUCGCUCUCGCCCGAUCGGAGCCCCUCGCUCUCCCUCGUCCUCGCCUCGCCAUCGUGCUACUAUUAGUCGGCGAGGGGGAGGGGAAGAGACCUCGGUCCCUCUCUCUCUCACUAGAUAGAUAGAUAGAGAGAGAGAGGGAGGCGUAGGAGGAGGAGAGGAGUUCCGAGAGAGAGCAAUAGCGGCCGGAGGAGCGGCUCAUGCCGGGUACAUGCGGGUCCGCCGCGCGCCCCGCACACGCUGAUGCGAGUCGACGUCCAAAUCCAAAUGCUCAAAUUCUCGCCUUCCUGAGCUCGAGUCGCUUGCAGAGUGGUGUGCGCCUACAACGGACAAGGGCGGCGGCGGGCGCGGGGGCGCUCGCACUGCCUCCGCGCAGUGCGGCGCUUCCUGCUCCACAAGAGGAGAAACCGCAACGGGGGGUGUGUGUGGGAGUCAAGGUAGUCUUCCCUCCCCCGCCCCCCCACGCGCGUUUGCCCGUGUUGCUGUCAUCCAAACGGUCUAGAAACGA
RNAcentral lists this ribosomal RNA (2565 nucleotides) under Pleoticus robustus. RNAcentral's name for it is "eukaryotic LSU rRNA". The stretch from base 1 to 1967 matches the Rfam family "Eukaryotic large subunit ribosomal RNA". The record is from RNAcentral. Lineage: Eukaryota; Metazoa; Arthropoda; Malacostraca; Decapoda; Solenoceridae.